RNAcentral lists this ribosomal RNA (731 nucleotides) under Peltigera kukwae var. phyllidiata. RNAcentral's name for it is "partial 28S large subunit ribosomal RNA". It matches the Rfam family "Eukaryotic large subunit ribosomal RNA", at positions 142 to 887 of the family's 3401-position model. Lineage: Eukaryota; Fungi; Ascomycota; Lecanoromycetes; Peltigerales; Peltigeraceae. The record is from RNAcentral.
GUUGUAAUCUGCAGAGGGAGUUUCGGGUAAAGUCUGGUUUAAGUUCCUUGGAACAGGACGUCAUAGAGGGUGAGAACCCCGUCAGUGACCAAUCACCAACCCAUGUGAAACCCCUUCGACGAGUCGAGUUGUUUGGGAAUGCAGCUCCAAAUGGGUGGUAAAUUUCAUCUAAAGCUAAAUAUUGGCCGGAGACCGAUAGCGCACAAGUAGAGUGAUCGAAAGAUGAAAAGCACUUUGGAAAGAGAGUUAAAUAGUACGUGAAAUUGUUGAAAGGGAAGCGCUUGUGACCAGACCUGUGCAUAGGUGAUCAGUUGGUAAUUUUACCAAUGUACUCAUCUAAAGCCAGGCCAGCAUCGGUUUUGGCGGCGGGACAAAAGCGUGGAGAAUGUAACUCUCUCUUGGGUGAGUACUUAUAGCUCGUCAUGAAAUGCCGCCAGCCGAAACCGAGGACCGCGCUUUGGCUAGGAUGCUGGCGUAAUGGUUGCAAGCGACCCGUCUUGAAACACGGACCAAGGAGUCUAACAUCUAUGCAAGUGUUUGGGUGUAAAACCCAGGCGCGGAAUGAAAGUGAAUGGAGGUGGGAACCCUUAAAGGGGGUGCACCAUCGACCGAUCCUGAUGUCUUCGGAUGGAUUUGAGUAUGAGCAUAGCUGUUGGGACCCGAAAGAUGGUGAACUAUGCCUGAACAGGGUGAAGCCAGAGGAAACUCUGGUGGAAGCUCGCAGCGGUUCU